UACGUAGGGGGCUAGCGUUGUCCGGAAUCAUUGGGCGUAAAGCGCGCGUAGGUGGCCCCGUAAGUCCGCUGUGAAAGUCAAAGGCUCAACCUUUGAAAGCCGGUGGAUACUGUGGGACUAGAGUACGGAAGAGGCGAGUGGAAUUCCUGGUGUAGCGGUGGAAUGCGCAGAUAUCAGGAGGAACACCAAUAGCGAAGGCAGCUCGCUGGGACGUUACUGACACUGAGGCGCGAAAGCGUGGGGAGCGAACAGG
RNAcentral lists this ribosomal RNA (253 nucleotides) under uncultured bacterium. RNAcentral's name for it is "partial 16S ribosomal RNA". It matches the Rfam family "Bacterial small subunit ribosomal RNA", at positions 524 to 776 of the family's 1533-position model. The record is from RNAcentral.